Molecule: long non-coding RNA, 2297 nt
Organism: Vombatus ursinus (common wombat)
Lineage: Eukaryota; Metazoa; Chordata; Mammalia; Diprotodontia; Vombatidae
Exons: 7
Source: RefSeq, a predicted model, not a curated record
UCUCAGCUAUCCGAGCUUCUGGGUUAUUUCAGGUGAUAAAUCACGGCAAAAGAGAAAAAAAGAAAAAAGGUAUGUGUGACAUACUUAGGUUUCAGGCUCCUCCUUCCCACCCGAAAUGCAUCUUAACACUGCCUUCUUUGAUCCUAACGGUAACUCCAAGGACGCACCUUAUUCCUACCUAACAUGUGUUGAGGUUUUAUUAUAGAUGCCCAACCUGGAGGUCAGAUAUUCUGGGCUGGCUUUAGUAGCGGCAUAAGGAAGCCUGCUAGAGGGGACGCAGCAUGUAAAUACAUCGAAGAGAAAAGUAGGGUAAACCACAAGCUGAUUAUAAUUAGUCUGAGGAAAUGACUUUCUGUACUCUAGAAAUUAGCAUACUAGAAAUACAGAUAUUUUCUGUGCCUUCAUCUGUUACAUUUUGGAAAAAAAAGAUUCUAGUCUUGUUUGUUGUCCACUAAUAUUUAAAGUAAACCUUUUUUCCCCCCAACAAAGCUCAUAGGAAAUUAUAUGAAUUUGCUUCAGUUUUGGAUUGAUUUUAGUUCAAGUCUACUUUGUAAAAACAGGAUUUUGUUGUACCAGUCACAUCAGAGAGGUGAAAAGCAAAAACCACGCCUCAGCUAAAAGUCACUCCUGGGGAAUCUAGAGCCAUGCUAUCUUAUUUGUGAUUUAAAUGAGUUUCAGCAGACUUGACCUUUUCAAGGCUGUGAUAUGACAUGACUCCCGGGGUGAAGAGAUGGGAACAAUCCCUAUGGAAAUACUGUACGGGCAGAGGAGAGAAGUCCAAGAGAGCUCACCAUCCCUUAUGAUAAACAAGGCAGGAGUCUACCCAAGUUCGUCACCUAUUCUAGGGCCUUACCAGACUUCAGUCUCUGCGGCCUGGAUUGGGAAGUUGCCACCAAGUGCUGGGAAGGAUUCGGGGACUCUGGGGAGGAGCCGGGCCAAGGAUAUUCUGCUCCUAACCACAGGAACAUGGGUUGCUGUGGGCUUGCGCUGCUCGGGUAAACCCUGAAACUCUGGAGAGCAUCCUCUGAUAUCUAUAGCUACUGACAAGAAUCAUGGAGUAAGAGAAAGAACUGAUGGAUGGACCAGUGGCCCACUGGUAUUGACCAAGUGUCAAAGGAACGGGAGGAAAGCUCCCAGAAAGUUAGGUGGACCCUCUGUGGCAAUCUCACAGGAGACAAAGAUGCUCUGAUGAUGUUGGAAAGCCAGCCCAGGUCGAGCAGCCUGAGACCAGGCUAGACAUGAGAAUUCUUGGAAUUUUGUGAAAUCUCUUUCAAGUACAACUUUGUGGUGGUUGUCAUCUGUAAAACAAGGUUGUGAAGACCCUAGAAUGUUGACGCGUGGAAAACUGAUCUUUUUGAAGUGGAUAUAAAUUACCUGGUGAGCUUGCAGUCUGUGCCAACAUCACUACAGAACCAGGCUAUAGACUAAAGCAAGAGGGGCUGAACUUAAGAGCGCCGAGGAGCUCUGUCCUUGAUCUUGUCCCGCCAUCCACAGCUAGAAGAGCUUAAGCUGCCUACAGACGGUCAACACCAUCCCAGCCCAGCCAGCCACCAGAAAGCAGCGGCUUCAUCCUCUGACCUUCUCCUGACUUUGGGACUCUGUAGGGAUCAAAAGUGCUGUACUGGACUCUGCUGGUUCUUGUUGCUUUUUCUUCUGAAAGUUCUGCCAGGCUGUCUAACUUUCCAGGGGAGCACCCCCAAAUCCAGCUGGGAGCUGUGCUCCCAACACAAAGGGAAGCCACGCAGAAUCCCCAAGAGCAGUGAAGCUGAACACCCUAAAUGGGGCUGUGAAUAACUGUGUGUGCCAGUGUACAAGUCUGCUCUCCAUCGAUGGGGAAAGAAAGGAGGCCGCACGCUUCUCCUGGAACACGGCAGGUCCAGCCUCCCCUGCUCCACGGACUGCUGUGGCUCCACAGCGCCUCCAGGAUCAACGAAGUCCUCUGUUUGACGUUUAAAGCCUUUCACACCCUGACUCUCUCCCUCCAGGCCGGCCGUUUCUCACAUGUCACUUCAUCUCUUUGCUUAGCCUUUGCAUAGGCUGCCCCUUCAAGACUCAGUAGAAACACCACCUUGUGAAUGAGGUCUUUCCUGAUUGCACCAGCUGCUAGUGCCUCUCCCCACAAAUUACCUUGCAUUUAUUUAUUACUCAAUCACUGACUGUAUAUUUUGUAUAUGUUAGGUGUAGACCUUGUUUUUUGGGGAACCAAUAUGGUGCUGCGCACAGAGUGCCGGGCCUGGAGUCUGGGAGACUCCUCUUCCUGUGUUCAAAUCUGACAUCAGAUACUUACUAGCUGGGUG